GAGUUUGAUCCUGGCUCAGGACGAACGCUGGCGGCGCGCCUAACACAUGCAAGUCGAACGGAGCUGAGAGAAGCUUGCUUUUCUUGACUUAGUGGCGAACGGGUGAGUAACGCGUGAGUAACCUGCCCUGGAGUGGGGGACAACAGUUGGAAACGACUGCUAAUACCGCAUAAGCCCACGGUACCGCAUGGUACUGAGGGAAAAGGAUUUAUUCGCUCUAGGAUGGACUCGCGUCCAAUUAGCUAGUUGGUGAGGUAAAGGCUCACCAAGGCGAUGAUACAUAGCCGACCUGAGAGGGUGAUCGGCCACAUUGGGACUGAGACACGGCCCAAACUCCUACGGGAGGCAGCAGUAGGGAAUCUUCGGCAAUGGACGAAAGUCUGACCGAGCAACGCCGCGUGAGUGAAGAAGGUUUUCGGAUCGUAAAACUCUGUUGGUAGAGAAGAACGUUGGUGAGAGUGGAAAGCUCAUCAAGUGACGGUAACUACCCAGAAAGGGACGGCUAACUACGUGCCAGCCGCCGCGGUAAUAC
Molecule: ribosomal RNA, 532 nt
Filed under: uncultured bacterium
Lineage: Bacteria
Description: bacterial SSU rRNA
Rfam family: Bacterial small subunit ribosomal RNA
Source: RNAcentral